This 231-nucleotide ribosomal RNA is filed under the name uncultured bacterium. RNAcentral's name for it is "partial 16S ribosomal RNA". It matches the Rfam family "Bacterial small subunit ribosomal RNA", at positions 118 to 347 of the family's 1533-position model. The record is from RNAcentral.
UGAGGAACAUGACCUUGACCCUGGAAUAACAGCUGGAAACAGCUGCUAAUACCGGAUACGACCUCCGAUGGCAUCAUCUGGAGGUGGAAAACUCCGGCGGUCAAGGAUGGUCUCGCGGCCUAUCAGCUUGUUGGUGAGGUAACGGCUCACCAAGGCUUCGACGGGUAGCCGACCUGAGAGGGUGAUCGGCCACAUUGGAACUGAGACACGGUCCAGACCUCCGUAGGGAGG